GCCGGGUCCUAAGGCGAGGCCGAAAGGCGUAGUCGAUGGAUAGCAGGUUAAUAUUCCUGCGCACCUGUUGAGAUCGAAGCAUAGUGCGGAUCUCCAAGCUCUUCUGGACUGCUAGUUGUCCAGGCCUUCGGGCCGUUGAAGGGGGAGGGGGUUCCUAGAAAAGCUAUGUGGGCAAUACAGGUCCCGUACUAAAACUGACACAGGUAGACGAGGCGAAUAGCCUCAGGCGCUCGAGAGAAUGGUUGUGAAGGAAUUAGGCAAAAUCACUCCGUACGUUCGCAAGAAGGAGGCCCUUCGGGGCGCAGAGAAAAGGUCCUGGCAACUGUUUAUCAAAAACACAGCACUGUGCUAACUCGCAAGAGGAUGUAUACAGUGUGACGCUUGCCCAAUGCCCGAAUGUCACGGGAGCAGGUUAGCUUCGGCGAAGCUUGCAACUUAAGCACGGGUCAAUGGCGGCCGUAACUAUGACGGUCCUAAGGUAGCGAA
This 486-nucleotide ribosomal RNA is filed under the name Pseudo-nitzschia fraudulenta. RNAcentral's name for it is "partial Bacterial large subunit ribosomal RNA". It matches the Rfam family "Bacterial large subunit ribosomal RNA", at positions 1383 to 1963 of the family's 2925-position model. Lineage: Eukaryota; Bacillariophyta; Bacillariophyceae; Bacillariales; Bacillariaceae. The record is from RNAcentral.